Molecule: ribosomal RNA, 497 nt
Filed under: uncultured bacterium
Lineage: Bacteria
Description: partial 16S ribosomal RNA
Rfam family: Bacterial small subunit ribosomal RNA
Source: RNAcentral
GAUGAACGCUGGCGGCGUGCCUAAUACAUGCAAGUCGAGCGAACGGACGAGAAGCUUGCUUUUCUGAUGUUAGCGGCGGACGGGUGAGUAACACGUGGAUAACCUACCUAUAAGACUGGGAUAACUUCGGGAAACCGGAGCUAAUACCGGAUAAUAUUUUGAACCGCAUGGUUCAAAAGUGAAAGACGGUCUUGCUGUCACUUAUAGAUGGAUCCGCGCUGCAUUAGCUAGUUGGUAAGGUAACGGCUUACCAAGGCAACGAUGCAUAGCCGACCUGAGAGGGUGGUCGGCCACACUGGAACUGAGACACGGUCCAGACUCCUACGGGAGGCAGCAGUAGGGAAUCUUACGCAAUGGGCGAAAGCCUGACGGAGCAACGCCGCGUGAGUGAUGAAGGUCUUCGGAUCGUAAAACUCUGUUAUUAGGGAAGAACAUAUGUGUAAGUAACUGUGCACAUCUUGACGGUAGCUAAUCAGAAAGCCACGGCUAACUACGUG